AUGCAGAACGAUGAAGGACAAAUCACCGAGCUCUACAUCCCUAGGAAGUGCUCUGCCACUAACAGAUUGAUUACUGCUAAGGAUCACGCUUCGGUUCAGAUUAACGUAGGCCACCUCGAUGAAAGCGGUGUCUACAAUGGUCACUUCUCCACUUUUGCCCUAUGUGGCUUCACUCGCGCACAGGGAGACGCGGACAGUGGGAUUGAUCGUUUGUGGCAGAAAAAGAAAACUGAACUUAAACAGUAG
This is a non-coding RNA of Vicia faba (fava bean), 246 nucleotides long. NCBI's taxonomy places the organism in Eukaryota, Viridiplantae, Streptophyta, Magnoliopsida, Fabales, Fabaceae. The record is from the annotation of a GenBank genome assembly.